This 199-nucleotide ribosomal RNA is filed under the name uncultured bacterium. RNAcentral describes it as "partial 16S ribosomal RNA". It matches the Rfam family "Bacterial small subunit ribosomal RNA", at positions 328 to 539 of the family's 1533-position model. The record is from RNAcentral.
ACGCUCGACACCUACGGGAGGUAGCAGUGGGGAAGUAUUGCACAAUGGGGGAAACCCGUGAUGCAGCGACGCCGCGUGAGCGAAGAAGUAUUUCGGUAUGUAAAGCUCUAUCAGCAGGGAAGAAACUGACGGUACCUGACUAAGAAGCACCGGCUAAAUACGUGCCAGCAGCCGGGUAAUCUGAGCGGGCUGGCAAGGC